GAAAUGCGAUAAGUAAUGUGAAUUGCAGAAUUCAGUGAAUCAUCGAAUCUUUGAACGCACCUUGCGCUCCUUGGUAUUCCUUGGAGCAUGCCUGUUUGAGUAUCAUGAAAUCUUCAAAGUAAAUCUUUUGUUAACUCAAUUGGUUUCUACUUUGGUAUUGGAGGUCUUUGCAGCUUCACACCUGCUCCUCUUUGUUCAUUAGCUGGAUCUCAGUGUUAUGCUUGGUUCCACUCGGCGUGAUAAGUUAUCUAUCGCUGAGGACACUGUAAAAGGUGGCCAAGGUAAAUGCAGAUGAACCGCUUCUAAUAGUCCAUUGACUUGGACAAUACUUUUAUGAUCUGAUCUCCAAUCAGGUAGGACUACCCUCUGAACUUAAGC
This 378-nucleotide unclassified non-coding RNA is filed under the name plant metagenome. RNAcentral describes it as "partial contains 5.8S ribosomal RNA, internal transcribed spacer 2, and large subunit ribosomal RNA". The stretch from base 1 to 105 matches the Rfam family "5.8S ribosomal RNA", at positions 50 to 154 of the family's 154-position model. The record is from RNAcentral.